Homo sapiens (human) is the source of this 3102-nucleotide long non-coding RNA. The record is from Ensembl. Lineage: Eukaryota; Metazoa; Chordata; Mammalia; Primates; Hominidae.
GGAGAGGAUAUCUGGGGAAGGCCUCUUUGAGGAGGUGAGUUGUGAAGGGACAAGAAAGAGACAGCCAUAUGGACACUGGAGUUAAGACUAUCAGUCACAGUAGCGACUCUGGUUUUCUCAAGUUCAUAUUGUUGUACUGUAAGAGCAGAGGCAUUCUAACUUUCCAGCAGCUUCCAAGUGGAAGAGUUUUUAUUGCCUUGGUGGCUUUCCUUAACAAUUGAACAGAACCACAAGGGAGAAAGACCUUUUUUUCAGGGAAGCUGGGGUAGGUAGAGUUGGCCUCUGACCUAAGAUUUUGUCCAGUGACUUUUCUGUUGGAACGGAAUGUCUAAGAAAACCCAAGGAAGAAGUGAAGUCUCUAAGAAAUGUCAGGCAGAAAUCACCCGGGGGCAAAAUCCACCUGAAAAUGUUGAUUAGCCUCUCCCUUUCCCUCUUUCAUCCACAUCCUUAUCUCUAUAUACUCACAUGGUAGAAGGUCAGAUUGUUUUCCUUAAGAAGAAUUUUCUCAUGUAAAAUAUUAAUGCAAUCUGAAUUGCAUAAUUUUACCAUAUUCUAUUAUCUGAAAUUAGUUAUAAUAAUUCAAUGCUUUCACCCCAUACCACAUAAAUACAAAGCAUUUUUUCUUAGUGGGUGGAAUGGUGAACCCCAAAAUGAUAUGUUCAUGUCCUCACCCACAAAAACUGUAAAUGUGAUGUUAUUUGGAAAGGGAGUCUUUGCAGAUGUUACUAAGUUAAGGAUCACAAGAGCAUACUGAUUUAGGGUGGGCCCUAAAUCCAAUGACAAGUCCUUCUAAGAGAAGAGCAGGGGAAACAGGCACAGCUAUAGUCACAGAGGGGAGAAAGGCAUGUGACGAUGCAGGCAGAGAUUAAAUAAGGCUGCCACAAGCCAAGGAACUCCAGGAGCCUCCAGAAGUUAGAAGAAGCAAGAAAAGAUUCUCCUCUAGAGCCUUUCAAGGGAGCACCAUGUUAAUAACACCUUGAUUCAGAUUUCUAGCCUUGAGAUUUGUGGGAGAAAAUAUUUCCAUGUUUGAAACCAUCAAAUUUGUGGUAAUUUGUUGUAGCAACUGAAGGAAACAAAUACACCAUCUGAAGCUGAGCUUUUGAAGGUUGGAAAAUUAUACUUGCCUUUAUUUCAGUUUAUUUUUCUUCAGUGAAAAAAGCAAUCAACAGGAAUGAAAUGGCUUAACAAGAGCACAUUGCAGGUUGCACAAAGGCAUCACUGGCAGUUCUACCACUGCUCCAUCAAAGACUGUGUUCCCAGACCCUGCAAUUUCCCAUCCUGUGAACCACAGCACAGGGUAAUGGAAGAAAAGCUGGACUACGAAUCAUAAGCUGAGGUACUGUUGUUCCUGUUUAUAGACUCUCAGUCUUGAUUUUUCUAUCUUGCCUUUGUGUACUUCACAGUGGAGGGAUCUUAAUAUGAUCAAAAUAGAAUAAUAAAAUAACAGCUGUGAAAACAAGCUACAGGUAAUAGUGUUCCAUGAAAAUAUGUUCAUAUUAUUAUAGAAGAGAGGAAUAAAAAGAAGUUAAAUAUGAAGUCACAUCCCAUAUAGACAUCACUAAACCUGAAUAAUGAACAGGAAUUCCUUACUCCUGAUGUCACUGGGUGACGUCCACAUAGCCCACAACGUUCAAGGCUCUGAUGAGCUCACUCUGAUGAGCUUCCAAGAGUCCAAGUCCUCCACUGUUCUUUCUUCCUCACAGAAAAUUGACAUGAAAAGUACAGGUCAGGCUUGGCUACCUUCUGAGGGAUCAAAUAUGCACAGAAGUGAUAGCCUCAUCAUAGUGCCAAACUCAGAAUUAAACACCAUUCUUGGCCAUUAGGUCCAUACACUAGUGUUUUUCUGGGAUUCUCUGGAAGACACCAGAAUAUCCUGGUACCAUUCAGUCCUACCUUAUGGGCCAAGCCUGAGGAUGUUUCAAAAGAAACCCAGAGCAGCCAAGGUGGUGGUUUUGUGGAAGGUCUUAGAAGCCUCACUGCCAAAGCGAAACCAGCUGAGUAAACUUCACAAGCAGACCCACACCACUCAGUAAGGUGUCCCACUAAGAUAUUAGCCUUGACAAGAGAGCCCUGGUGCCAUGGAAACAGGGUAAACACAGAGUUUGUCUUCCAGGCUUUGUGGAAGAUGCUACAAUCCUCAUCCUGCCUCCAGACCCAGAAUGUACAGAAAAGUAGACUGAGGAAGAAAACAUAAAAGAAAAGAGAACAUAGGCUAAGACUGACCUAAGUUUAGAAAUAAAUGCUUUAACAUUGACCUGAAAAUUUGUUAGGGAAGAGUUGAUUUCCCUUCUCCUUGCUGCCUAUCAAAAUUAAAUUAAAAAUAAAAAAAGUUUUCCCUUCUUCUCCUUGCUGCCUAUCAAAAUUAAAUGAAAAAAAAGUUUUGCAUUCAUGAUUUAUGUGAGCUAUCAUGCUAGCUACAUGGCUUAAUUAUGGCCAAGUAUAGUCAAGUGGACAGAACACGGAACUUACACAGGUCUGGAUUCAAGCAGCCAACAUGGUCACUUGAAUGGACCAGUUAAGAAGCCUAUGUGUCUACCUAAGUCUGUUUUCUCACUUGUAAAAUAUAGGUGCCUAGUUAGAGAGGAUAAGGAAACCAUUCUUAAAACCAUAUUUAGAGGAAUCUCAAAAUAUCAAAAGAACAAUAAUUUAAUAUACUGAAAUAUAUUAAUAAGUUACCAGGUUUUAACAACUUUGAAGUCCAUCUCAACCCAGCAAUGCAAACCCCUGUAUUGGAAGCACAUUCCUAUGGAAGCUUGUACAUACUACAUAUUACUGUGCUCUCAUACACACUAGAAAUGUGUCCAUUAUUAUGGAAAAGUUUUGCAUGGUAAUAGCUUAAAGUAGGACUUUCUUAAUUUUAAAGUAUAAAGAUACAGUGGAAAUCGGUAACAUUGACUCAGCAAAACAAGCCAACGAAAAAAUACAAAACACAGAGAAUGAGAAUCUGAAAGACUCUAACAACAAUAAUUCUUCUUAGGCCAAUAUGAAAAUAUUAGGUUGUAAAAGAAAUAGGAAAGAAUAAAAUCAAAAUAACAUUAAAUAUGGACAAUUCCAAGUGAAGAAUAAAGUAUAUAAAAAUCAAGGAAUAAAUCCAUGUAUACA